Molecule: ribosomal RNA, 450 nt
Filed under: uncultured bacterium
Lineage: Bacteria
Description: partial 16S ribosomal RNA
Rfam family: Bacterial small subunit ribosomal RNA
Source: RNAcentral
GUGGGGAAUAUUGGACAAUGGGCGAAAGCCUGAUCCAGCCAUGCCGCGUGUGUGAAGAAGGUCUUCGGAUUGUAAAGCACUUUAAGUUGGGAGGAAGGGUUGUAGAUUAAUACUCUGCAAUUUUGACGUUACCGACAGAAUAAGCACCGGCUAACUCUGUGCCAGCAGCCGCGGUAAUACAGAGGGUGCAAGCGUUAAUCGGAAUUACUGGGCGUAAAGCGCGCGUAGGUGGUUAGUUAAGUUGGAUGUGAAAUCCCCGGGCUCAACCUGGGAACUGCAUUCAAAACUGACUGACUAGAGUAUGGUAGAGGGUGGUGGAAUUUCCUGUGUAGCGGUGAAAUGCGUAGAUAUAGGAAGGAACACCAGUGGCGAAGGCGACCACCUGGACUGAUACUGACACUGAGGUGCGAAAGCGUGGGGAGCAAACAGGAUUAGAAACCCGGGUAGUCC